This 253-nucleotide ribosomal RNA is filed under the name uncultured bacterium. RNAcentral describes it as "partial 16S ribosomal RNA". It matches the Rfam family "Bacterial small subunit ribosomal RNA", at positions 524 to 776 of the family's 1533-position model. The record is from RNAcentral.
CACGUAGGGCGCGAGCGUUGUCCGGAAUUAUUGGGCGUAAAGAGCUCGUAGGCGGCCUGUUGCGUCCGCUGUGAAAGCCCGGGGCUUAACCCCGGGUCUGCAGUGGAUACGGGCAGGCUAGAGGUAGGUAGGGGAGAAUGGAAUUCCCGGUGUAGCGGUGAAAUGCGCAGAUAUCGGGAGGAACACCGGUGGCGAAGGCGGGUCUCUGGGCCGAUACUGACGCUGAGGAGCGAAAGCGUGGGGAGCGAACAGG